GGGGACGCGACGCCGGGGCUCAGGGCGUGGAGCAGGGCGCAGUCAGAGCUGGGGGUGGGAUAGGGCGGGUGCGAGGGGCAGGUCUCGGGGAGCAGGGCGGGGCGAGCUGUCGAAUUCAGGGCCGGAACCAAGUUCUCUAGCGCCACCACCGGUAGGUAACGGAUUGGAGGCAGAGAAGAGCCAGGCAAAGACCCAGCUUACCUGUUAGCUCCGUAUGUCAGGGACAGAAGAUUCCGGAUAAAUUUAAGAAAAACAGCGCAGGAAAGCGCUUUUUAAAUAGAGAGAGAAAAACACUGGUACACAAAAAUUGGCACCUGACCGGAGAUAUUUUUCAAUUCACGUGUGAAAAUGGUCCUUCAGAUAAUAUCAUGACAGGCAAUGAAAAGCCACUUUGGGAGCAAGAUAAAGACUGAAAACAGCUUCAGCUGAAAAACCAGAAUCCUGAAGAAAGAGAAGAAUCGAAGUUCGAUCAGAUGAAUAUGUUAGUAAGGAAAAAGUGAACUGAAAGGCUCUGCUGCAGGUUAGGACGAGGUGGCAGAUACCGCCUGGCCUGCUGCUGCAGGAUUUGCAGCUUCUCCAACAAAGGGCAAAACUGCAUUUCAAUGGAACUUUCAUCUUCCGUUCAGUGAACUGUAAUUGAGCAAUCUAAGUAACCCAUGUGGAGGCUGGGUGUGAAAAAUUCAACACAGAAGUCAGAACUUUGAUAACCACAUGAAUCAGAGGUGGGUCAGCAGAAGGUUUUCACUAGGCCGGAAAAAUCCCAAGGCCUUGAGAGCUGCAGGAACACAGGCUCCUUCUUACCUCUUC
Non-coding RNA from Oryctolagus cuniculus (rabbit), 807 nucleotides. NCBI's taxonomy places the organism in Eukaryota, Metazoa, Chordata, Mammalia, Lagomorpha, Leporidae. The record is from RefSeq and is a predicted model, not a curated record.